RNAcentral lists this ribosomal RNA (468 nucleotides) under uncultured bacterium. RNAcentral's name for it is "partial 16S ribosomal RNA". It matches the Rfam family "Bacterial small subunit ribosomal RNA", at positions 28 to 507 of the family's 1533-position model. The record is from RNAcentral.
GAUGAACGCUGGCGGCGUGCUUAAUACAUGCAAGUCGAACGGACAGGCGCUGCUCUUGUGGGUCUCUCGUGAGGCGAACGGGUGAGUAACACGUGAGUAACCCGCACUUGUCUUUGGGAUAACUCCAGGAAACUGGGGCUCAUAUCCGAUAGGAGCUAUUGAUGCACGGUGGGGGUUGGUAAGAUUCGGCGGUUGGGGAUGGACUCGCGGCUUAUCAGCUUGUUUGUGUGGUAGUGGAUUACCAAGGCAUUGACGGGUAGCCGGCCUGAGAGGGUGACCGGCCACAUUGGGACUGAGAUACGGACCAGACUCCUACGGGAGGCAGCAGUGGGGAAUAUUGCACAAUGGGCGGAAGCCUGAUGCAGCAACGCCGCGUGCGGGAUGACGGCCUUCGGGUUGUAAACCGCUUUCGCCUGUGACGAAGCGUGAGUGACGGUAAUGGGUAAAGAAGCACCGGCUAACUACGUG